CGCCCUUCCUACGGGAGGCAGCAGUGGGGAAUUUUGGACAAUGGGCGCAAGCCUGAUCCAGCCAUGCCGCGUGCUGGAAGAAGGCCUUCGGGUUGUAAACCGCUUUUGUCAGGGAAGAGAUCUUCUGGGUUAAUACCUCGGGAGGAUGAC
RNAcentral lists this ribosomal RNA (150 nucleotides) under uncultured bacterium. RNAcentral describes it as "partial 16S ribosomal RNA". It matches the Rfam family "Bacterial small subunit ribosomal RNA", at positions 331 to 473 of the family's 1533-position model. The record is from RNAcentral.